Molecule: microRNA precursor, 205 nt
Organism: Oryza sativa Indica Group (long-grained rice)
Lineage: Eukaryota; Viridiplantae; Streptophyta; Magnoliopsida; Poales; Poaceae
Rfam family: MIR812 microRNA precursor family
Source: Rfam
AAUAAAUGCAGUUUUGUACUAUUCAUGUUCAACAUACGGUUCGUCUUAUUUGAAAUUUUUUUAUGAUCAGUAUUUUUAUUGCUAUUAGAUGAUAAAACAUGAAUAGUACUUUAUGUGUGACUAAAUAUUUUCAAUAUUUUCACAAAUUUUUCAAAUAAGACGGACGGUCAAACGUUGGGCACGGAUAUCCACGGCUGCACUUAUU